GUUACCUUGUGAACAAGUAAUCAUCACACGAGAAGGUUUACGUGCAAAAUAGGUUAUGGAUCUCUGUUUGCGAAACACCAUGUACAACAACCUGCUGAAAAAUAAAUGAACCAAUUAACUUCAAUUGCCUUAAUGCAAAAUGCAACAGUACUAAAUGUUAUAACAAUACUGUGGAAACAUGGCACUGUUCGUCAAACAACACAGAUAGCGGAAACCUGAAAAGAAAAGAAGUUUAUUACGAGUGCUCCAAUUACUGUUUGAAUGUAAAACGUGCUAGUUCAACGAAUAACUAAAACAGUGAAAGUGCAACUUACCUCGUGAACUAAUCACCAUACAAGGAAGUGUACAUGCAUGAAUUUUGCAGAUUAACAAGAAGAAAUAAAGUAGCUGAUAAGUGUAGAAAGUGAUAUAAGACGAUUGAAGACAACCGUAGUAAGUAUUUAAGGCAUAUCAAAGAAUCAGAUGAUGUUGUGGGAAUGCUCUAGGUAAGUGAUGCAGCAUCGAAAGAGUAGAACCUGAAGAAUUACAGACAAUGUUAAUCUAACAAGUAGAUUUUAAUCACUAAUAAGGGAACUAACUCAUAUCAUACACAAAAUAAUAGCAAAUAGCAAGUACAUGCAAUAAUAAAUUAAUAGGAAAAAUAAGAAAGGUUAAUAAACACAGGAAUAGGUUAGAAAUUAAUCAAGAUAGACUAACUAAAUAUUAACAACAUGACCGAACUCGGUGCAAAAGAAUAAAGUUACGCUAUACAAAAUAUCUGGUAACACAAUACGCAAAAAACAUUAACUAAAUUAAACAAGACUUAUAUAAAUGCAAGUCGUGUAUAAUCAAAACAAUGACUACUGAAAUUCGGUAACAACACAAUCCAUGCUAUCACAUUUAAGUAACACACGGUAUUGACACACACAAUAUCAUAAUACACAAAACAAUAUUACAGAAACACUACUACAUAAAAAUUAUAGUAAUUAACAAUUAAUUAGCUAUUUCAACAACACGCUACUGUUGACAUUAAACCAACGAUACACGCAAGCGACCAUGUUGAAAAAUUCGUCGCGCGCACCCCACACAUACGCACCUCAUCACAAAUAAUAGCCAAUACAAUGUAAUACAGCAUCAUAAUAACAAUGUUAGGUACUAAUAAAAAAAAACAAGAAAAAAAGGGGGAGAGAGUUAAGGAAAAUAUAUAUAAUAAAUAACAACUAACAUAAUCAUAACAUAUUAUAUAUAUAUUAUAUUAUAUACAGAGAUACAGUAUUCAUACAAGGAACAAGUCCGAAUGAAACAUAUAUAUAUUAA
Molecule: long non-coding RNA, 1296 nt
Organism: Bombus huntii
Lineage: Eukaryota; Metazoa; Arthropoda; Insecta; Hymenoptera; Apidae
Exons: 2
Source: RefSeq, a predicted model, not a curated record